RNAcentral lists this ribosomal RNA (541 nucleotides) under Acanthopagrus latus (yellowfin seabream). Its description in RNAcentral is "partial 16S ribosomal RNA". It matches the Rfam family "Bacterial large subunit ribosomal RNA", at positions 598 to 1345 of the family's 2925-position model. Lineage: Eukaryota; Metazoa; Chordata; Actinopteri; Spariformes; Sparidae. The record is from RNAcentral.
CUCGUACCUUUUGCAUCAUGAUUUAGCUAGUAAACUCAAGCAAAGAGAACUUUAGUUUGACCCCCCGAAACUAAGUGAGCUACUCCAAGACAGCCUGAUUUAGGGCAAACCCGUCUCUGUGGCAAAAGAGUGGGAAGAACUUCGAGUAGAGGUGACAGAUCUAUCGAACUUAGUAAUAGCUGGUUGUUUGAAAAAUGGAUAGGAGUUCAGCCUUUUAGCUUCUCACUUCAACACCUUGUUUACAUUUCAGUUAGACUCCAAGAAACUAAAAGAGUUAAUCUAAGGGGGUACAGCCCCUCAGAUAAAGGACACAACCUUCACAGCAGGGUAAAGAUCAUAUUUAACUUAAGGUAGAAUAUCCCGGUGGGCCUAAAAGCAGCCACCCGUUAAGAAAGCGUUAAAGCUCAAAUAUAUAACCUUCCAUCGAUCCUGAUAACAUAAUCUCAUCCCUCUUUUAAUAUCAAACUAUCCGCUGCAAACAGCGGAGAAAUUAUGCUAAUAUGAGUAAUAAGAGGAAUUAAAUUCUCUCCAUGCACAAGUG